Molecule: ribosomal RNA, 253 nt
Filed under: uncultured bacterium
Lineage: Bacteria
Description: partial 16S ribosomal RNA
Rfam family: Bacterial small subunit ribosomal RNA
Source: RNAcentral
UACAGAGGAGCCAAGCGUUGUCCGGAUUGACUGGGCGUAAAGCGCACGCAGGCGGUCGCGCGCGUGGGGGGUGAAAUCUGGCCGCUUAACGGCCAGGCGCCAUCCCAUACGGCGCGACUGGAGUGAUGCAGAGGUCGGUGGAAUUGCCGGUGUAGCAGUGAAAUGCGUAGAUAUCAGGAGGAACACCGAUGGCGAAGGCAGGUCUCUGGGCUGACACUGACGCUCAUGCACGAAAGCGUGGGGAGCAAACAGG